UGAAUCGUCGCUGCUCCUGGUGUAUCCGAUUUGGAAUUCUGGAGCGCCAUAGAUUCAUCUUUGUUCAAGCAGUGGUUGAAGAACAUCGAAAGUGAGACUGGGAUUUGGUCUGGAGGUGACUUGUCUCUAGAACAAGUCUUAAUUCAGGGAGUGGAUAUGUUUGGAAAGCGCAUUGGGUUUCUCAAAUUUAAAGCAGAUGUUCUUGACAAAUCUA
Molecule: long non-coding RNA, 214 nt
Organism: Humulus lupulus (European hop)
Lineage: Eukaryota; Viridiplantae; Streptophyta; Magnoliopsida; Rosales; Cannabaceae
Exons: 3
Source: RefSeq, a predicted model, not a curated record